AAGGGCACCACAAGAACGCGUGGAGCAUGUGGCUUAAUUUGACUCAACGCGGGAAAUCUUACCAGGUCCGGACAUAUUGAGGAUUGACAGGCGAUAGAUUAUUAUAUAUUUAUAUAAUAUUGCAUAAAAAUGAUAGUCCUUUCAUGAUUAUAUGAUAGGUGGUGCAUGGCCGUUCUUAGUUCGUGGAGUGAUUUGUCUGCUUAAUUGCGUUUCAGAUAUAUAAUUAUAUAAUGCAUUAUAUAGUAAUAUAUAAUUUAAUAUUGUGCUGCCUUAUAUUUAUAUAUAAGGAUUUUAAGUGAACAUAUUAAUAUUGUUUUGCUAUAUAUUUAUUAUAUAUUAAAAUGAAUGCAACGAACGUGACCGUAACCUUUUAUUGCUAUAAUUAAUGUUAAUUCAUUAUAAUAUAGCAUAAAAUUAAAGGGACCGCUGUCUAAAUUUUAGUGUUAAAAUAGAGUAAGAUUACGGCAAUAACAGGUCUGUGAUGCCCUCAGAUGUUCUGGGCUGCACACGUGCUACAAUAAUUACAUUAAUAAGUAUCUAUAUCAACUACACUUAAUAAGUGUUAAUAAACCUAUUUCGAAAGUAAAUGGGUAAUCAUUUAAAAAUCGUGAUUAUGGUAUAUCUAUAUUAUGUAUAUAGUAUUUUACUAUUACAUAAAUACCAUUAACUAAUUUAAGGUGGGGAUAGUGUAUUGUUAAUUAUUACACUUGGCCUUAACUAGGAAUGCCUUGUACUCUUCUUUGGUUUAACAUACCAAGAGGAAUACGUCCCUGCCCUUUGUACACACCGCCCGUCGCUCUUACCGAUGAAUUAUAUUAUAAAUCUAAGGGACAUACGUACUAUCAGUACAUUGAAACUCAUACUUACAUACAUAAUGUGAUUUAAAGGAAAGAGAAGUCGUAACAAGGCAUCGUAGGUGAACCU
This 924-nucleotide ribosomal RNA is filed under the name Peneroplis planatus. RNAcentral's name for it is "bacterial SSU rRNA". It matches the Rfam family "Eukaryotic small subunit ribosomal RNA", at positions 1160 to 1816 of the family's 1831-position model. Lineage: Eukaryota; Foraminifera; Miliolida; Peneroplidae. The record is from RNAcentral.